GAGAAAAAAUAAUAAGAGUUUAAGGCCUGUAAAAUGCUUAUCCUAUUGUACUGUAAUAAUCAACAAUUAUUAUGAUGUUAUUUAUAUAGCUCUAGAUGUGAAAGGGCCUUUCUAGACAUAGUGCAGGUCUGUUAUCAAGAGUUUAAAGUCCUGAUUCUGCAACAUUUCAAGUGGGUGAACUUUUGCAACACUGUGGAGCCCCAGUUACUUUAACAGGGCUCCAGGCUAAUGCAGGGAUGCACACCUACCAGCUACAUGAUCAUGGACCUAAAUGAGAAAUAUACAAACAACUCCACUGCUAAUCCCAAGUAUUCAAAAAUUAAGAGUCAGGCUCUCAAAAUCAUAAAGGGCUUAAAAAUCACAAUUUAAAAGGAAAAAAAAUGUCUUCUGGUUUCUGGGUCUUCAGCAUUCAUAUUGUCAAGAUUUUCUCCGCAACUUUGAGGGCUAGAAACUUGAUUUUACAAAAAGGAAAAGUGAUAAUAUCACAUAAAAGAAAAUUACCAGUCUUUAAUCUGUUGUGAGGAACCAUUAAAGACAAAGAAAAACUGAUUUUAAACAAAUGUGAUAAGUCUAAUUAUUGUAUGCAGCAAAGUUAUGCAAUUAACAAGUUGUCUUUGUAGUUCAGAGAAUAGUGAGAUUUAAACUAACAGCUCAAUUCUGCCCCUAUUUAUCAUCAUCAUCAUGUUACCAUGAUGCUUCUAGCGUUUAGGGCAGUGACAGAGCUCCUCCACUACUGUUUGUUUCUGGCAAGUCUUUCAAUGGUUCCCCAGCUGUGCCCCAGGUUUCUCAGCUCAGUUUCCACAACUCUUCACCAUGUUUUUUUCAGGUGGCCUCGUUUUCGCUUGCCUUCAGGUGUCCAUCUUUUAAUGCUACUCUGGUGAUGGAAUCAGUUCCCAUCCGAAGCGCACGGCCAAUUCAUCUCCAGUGCCUCCAGGCAAUGAUGGUGCUCAGAUCCUCUUGGCUGCACUGUGUUAAUAGAUCUUGGUUUGAGAUUGUUCUGGGCCAAAAGGUGCAGAAGAUUUUUCUGAGGCAGGUUGUAUGGAAUGAAGACAGUUUGGACAUGUCAUACAUUGUCAUUCCCCAGCAUUCUGUACUGUAAAGUAAUGUUGAAAGUACGCAGCUCUGAGUUUGGUUUUUUAUUUUUUAUUAUUUCCAGACUGUAUUUAAGCUCCUGAAGGUGUUCCUGGCUUUAUUGAUUUUGAUCCAGAUGUCCUGGCUUGUUCCACCAUCCUGGCUGAUAGUGCUGCCCAAGUUUGUGAAUGUUUCUACACUGCUGAGAACACAAUCCUCUAUCAAGGAUGCUUGAAAGAAAGGUACUUAGUACAUUCAUCAACUUUAACAGCCACUGGAAGGAACAGAUAUGUCUCCUGAGCACUCAUGCUGAGAGGUGGCAGCAAGCCCACAGAGUGCAGAUGACUGGCCCAGACCCCUGGACUACUUGGCCCCACAGAAAGGAGAUGACUGGCCCGGACCACCCGACCUCUCAGGAGACAGAUGGGUGACCUAGAUCACUGACUGGCCCAACCUCAGUAGAACUUCUUCUGGUGACUGAGGCCCCCACUGAUCAACUUACCUCAGUGGACCAGCAGUGUCACUCUAUAAGGAUCCACCCUGGAUAUUAGAGAGAGAAAAUGGAUGAGGGAUUAUAUUUUAUUGGCUCCACUUCUGUUGGUGAGAGAGACAAGCUUUUGACCCACACGGAGCUCUUCUUCAGGUCUGGGAAAGGUACUACAAGCACCACCACUAAAUACAAGAUGGAACAGAUAGUUUUUAUCUGUGACACUCUUAGUGGAGUAACUAUUUUUACCAGUUGAAAUAAAAGCAGAUUUGGACCCUAUAAAACAUGUCUGGUUUCAGAACCAGGAUUUAUUUAUUCCUUUGCCUACGGCAUUUCAGAUGAUCGUUUUACUCUCUCUUUAUGAUUGUAACCUGGCAACAGCUGAUUUAAAGUAUGUGUAAGUGCUUACAAGAAUUAAAGCUCUUAAUACUUCUAUCAAUAAGGAAGUAAAGCUAACUUGGAAAGCUGCAGGUAGCCAAAGCAGCAUAUUAGUGCCGAUGACUUUUGUUGCACAAAAAAGAAUACAUGACUACAGUCUAUAAAUUGUUAAAUCCCUGUAUUAGCUCAAGGAAGCCAAACCCUAGAUGUUUUCCAUCUCUAGCUGCGACAGACCAAAUCCAGGGCACAUUUUA
Molecule: long non-coding RNA, 2190 nt
Organism: Gopherus flavomarginatus (Mexican gopher tortoise)
Lineage: Eukaryota; Metazoa; Chordata; Testudines; Testudinidae
Exons: 3
Source: RefSeq, a predicted model, not a curated record